Xenia sp. Carnegie-2017 is the source of this 648-nucleotide long non-coding RNA. RefSeq lists it as uncharacterized. Lineage: Eukaryota; Metazoa; Cnidaria; Anthozoa; Malacalcyonacea; Xeniidae. The record is from RefSeq and is a predicted model, not a curated record. The transcript has 2 exons.
CAAUACUUUAUUUCAGAACAACAUGUAAAUACAUCAUUAUUAAGAAAAAGGAAACCCAGAGGUUAGCCCUAUAUCAAGGGUCUCCUAGAUCAAGGGUCUGCUAUACAUAAUCGUACAGUCUUUAGUUUAGAAACAGUACACAGAGACUUUGUCGUGGUGACAAACUUAAAGAUGGAUUUCAAAAUAGCAAAUACCAUGGUGAAUGGUGAUAAUACCAAUGUAAUAGUUCUUAAAAGAACUGUUUUAACCAGAACACUAACCCAACCAACACUAACCCUUGGCUUUCUUUGAUUUUGAUUUCGUAACAACUUUUCAAGUGCCCUUUACGUAAAUUGAUUUUCUAAUCAAAGGAUUUUUAAGAGCUUGAAGUGACUGCACAACCCUGUUAUACAUCAUCGUUGGCGUUUUCAUAGUCGUGUGUAAAAAUAUCGCUUUACCAUAUUCAACAUGAAGAUUUGCUCUUCCUUGGAUCAGUCAAGCAAAUGUCAUAAAUCUAUAGCCUUCCGUUUAACAGUAAAUGGAACUGAACAAUCUUCAUCAGUGGGUGCAGCUAGAUAUUCACACCAAAAAUCAUUAUCAGGAUCUUUGACAGCAUGAAAUGUUAAUGCGGUAUGUGAAUGAUUAGAAUGUGAUUGUUUCGCCUCGUUA